This 404-nucleotide ribosomal RNA is filed under the name uncultured bacterium. Its description in RNAcentral is "bacterial SSU rRNA". It matches the Rfam family "Bacterial small subunit ribosomal RNA", at positions 356 to 775 of the family's 1533-position model. The record is from RNAcentral.
GGGGAAUAUUGGGCAAUGGGGGCAACCCUGCCCCAGCGACGCCGCGUGGGGGAAGACGGCCUUCGGGUUGUAAACCUCUUUUGUACGGGAAGAAGGAAGUGACGGUACUGUACGAAUAAGUCCCGGCUAACUACGUGCCAGCAGCCGCGGUAAUACGUAGGGGACGAGCGUUGUCCGGAAUUACUGGGCGUAAAGGGCGCGCAGGCUGUGCUGCAAGUCAGCUGUUAAAUGUCUGGGCUUAACCCGGGCAUGCGGUUGAGACUGCGGUGCUGGAGUGCUGUAGAGGCAAGUGGAAUUCCCAGUGUAGCGGUGAAAUGCGUAGAUAUUGGGAAGAACACCGGUGGCGAAGGCGACUUGCUGGGCAGCAACUGACGCUGAGGCGCGAAAGCCAGGGGAGCAAACGG